GAGCCGGUCCCAGUAUUUAUGAGGCCAGAAGCAAAUCCUACUAUAUAAAAGAAACUAAUUUAGAGAGUUCUCAAGGUGUCCACAUAGGACAAAAUAUUCUCAACCAAUUAAUAUGCCAUGUCACUACAGAUUUGUCUUAACUUCAAGGUCUGGGCCACAAAUCCAACCAGUCCAUCAAGAUAUUCGACCUAUUAGCAAUUUUUUGGGCUCAAUCGUAAACCUUACAGCUUCCUCCCCUUUAGUCCUACUCACUUCUAAAUUCAAGAGCUUGCCUAAUCGAUUUGCCUACUCAGGCGUAACGCCUGCGUCUACAUCUAUGGAACUUCAAUGCUCUUUAAUAAACCCAUCAAGACGAGGCUUCAUGUACCUCUCCACAUCACUCCUCUCAGCCAACAAUAUUGAUGGCUCUUCAAGGAACCAUCAUUACUUGCUCAUUAGAAACGCAUCCUAGCUCUCUACUUUCCCUUCUGCAAACUAUAUAUAUUCUCAUCAUCCUCUUCCCCAGCUGCUAAACUUCAUUGACAGAAAUCCGUAAUAUGGAAAAUUGACAAAAAAGAGACCACCACGAAAUCUCCAUCUGUACUCUUCUUUAAUCAGGUUUUUUUGGAAGAUAUAUUCAACUUUGCGUUUAAAUUUUUCUCUGAUUUCAAAAUUGCAGUUCCCUUGCGUAGGGAUUGAUGGCUAGAUAUUUGAAGGUUAACAUUACAUUGGGGUCAGCAUCCUCAUUUGGGUCCACACAUAUAAUUGUAUUUUUGUUUUUGAAUGAAUAUUCUGAUUAUAAGUUUAAUAUUAUAUUUAACAGAAAAACUAAAUUGAUAGCUGAAUAAUCUGAUAACACGUUUAGUAUCAUAAGCACGUUGGUCCCAUAUUUAUUCUUCUCUACAAGUUUAUAAAAGAAAUGAACACUGAUUCUUAGAGUGAUUUAUGAUUCAAUAUAUUAGACAUUUGAUUUUUGAUUUUUUCAAUACAUGCUAGAUUGAAACCUGUUUGUAUGAUUUUUUUUUUGGUUCUACCUUUCCUUAGGAGUUUCUGAUUCAGAAAGUGGAGACCUUAAAGAGUACAAGGAGCAUGCUGAUAAUUUCAUGGAGAUUAAUUACCAUCCUCCUCCUAGGCGAGAUAGUAACACACUAACACCUUCUUCUAGCUUCUUUAUAAGGCUUAGGAUUGAGUACAUAUUAAGUGCGUGAGUCCGAGAAGCUAAGAACUACGGACCCACUUAACAUGUUAUCUACUUUUAUGCAUCACAACAAGUUGAACAGCAGAGUAGUCUUUGGAAUAACUUUUGUAUUCUGUGGUUUUUAAGUUUCUAUAUUUUCGGUUUAAGAUGAAGUUUCAGUAUACUGCUAAAAAAUUAAUAUUCUCUAUAAAAUUCUUUUGGUUGC
This is a long non-coding RNA of Brassica napus (rape), 1382 nucleotides long. RefSeq lists it as uncharacterized. The record is from RefSeq and is a predicted model, not a curated record. Lineage: Eukaryota; Viridiplantae; Streptophyta; Magnoliopsida; Brassicales; Brassicaceae. The transcript has 2 exons.